AGCUGCACGUAAGCCUGAAGAACAACACCUCACAGAUGAUGACAGAUUCCCGGAAGAAAGUGGCCAAAAAGAAGGUGAAGCAGCAAAGUCGGAGGAGAUACAACAAGAUGUACAAGUGAGCCUCCAAGACAGUAACGAAAGCCAAGCUGAGAAAGGAUGCCACAAGAAAGAGGGAAAUUUAUUCCACACAUGGACGAAAAAAAUUAGAGGGAACAUUGAUCGGGUCAGAUCGGGCCAGACACACAAGACAGGUGCUCCUCCACCUCUCUUCAGAACACACUGGGGUUAGACAGACAGGCACUCAGUCCCUCACCCUUCCCUGUUGGCUUGAAGCUUCC
Long non-coding RNA from Terrapene triunguis (Three-toed box turtle), 338 nucleotides. RefSeq lists it as uncharacterized. The transcript is spliced from 3 exons. Lineage: Eukaryota; Metazoa; Chordata; Testudines; Emydidae. The record is from RefSeq and is a predicted model, not a curated record.